AUAAACGCACUCGAGCGCAUGGGCGCUUAAAUUAAACAGCAAGGUUUUUAAUAGAAGUUAAGGAGUGGGCUAUUGGGUGGGAAAGUUUUGUACUGCACAGAAGCUGCUUAUAUAUUUUUGCGGACGAGCUACAUCUGACAUUGCCGUGAUCGUGAUGCAGCCCGUUGCUUAAGCAUUGCCUGCACCUGAUGAUUUGCAUCUGAUAUAAUUAAUUAAUUAUACACAUUCCAUAAAAAAACAACAAAAUAGGUCGAGAUCUUUCACUUUUUGACAGCUGAGCGUAUAUCCAACAGAUGAUUCAGUGCAGAAUAUAUCAGCCGUUUCGAAACAGAGGAUUAUGGGGAGUAAACUUACGAGCCACGACCCCACCGGAUUCCAUUAUCUCUCCUCUUUCUGAAUUAAGGCGCUAGGCUGAAACCAGGCAUAUUUUUUCUUUAAGCUUUUACGCACUUUUGCGUUGAAUUAGUUGUAUUGAACGAGAGAGAUUAUUAUUAUUAUCAUUUUAUUUCAUUUUCUUUCGCUAGGGACGCUUGGGCGAUCAAGUUUUAAGAAUGGUCUGAUACAUGUGAAGCGAAUACAUGGGUUAUAAAGUAAGAACCAGUGAUGCCUCAGUCCUGAAGGCUAACGUGAAACAGAAAUCGAGAAAAGCACAUCAGUUGAAGUUAAAACCAUGCAUGCGUGGCAAAGAAAGAGCAGAAGGAAAAGGGGAAAACCACAGAUUGACAUGGUUGCAUAUAUGUCUUUAAUCAGACAAGCACAAGGAGUGGGUAAAUUCGAGCAGAAGACAGGGUUGAGUCUGUGGAAGCUUGUGAUCGAGCUUUCCUGAUUCUAUGAGAUGCAAAUCCUCCAGAAGGGUCUCGUAGUGCUCCUGAACGUCCCCUGCAUUCUUAUUUCCUCCGAUCAUGGCCGCGAUCACCUCCCACCGAUCUGGGCAUUGGUUGUCUACCACCGCCAAUGCCAACUCGAACAGUUUGUUCUCCUCCCAACUCCAUCCUCUCAAAACCUUGCUACAGUCAUCCAUGUCCCGUUUUGAGAUGCCCCGAUGAUAUUGAUACCUUCGCAUUCACUGCCACCGUGUUAUGACUUGUGAGGGUCCUGGCACUGAGAAGACCUCUCUUCAAUGGCGUCUCAUGAUUUGAAAUGUGUGUACAAUUGGGAAAUGUUUAUUCAUCUGUCUCAUUCGUGCCCUAAAGUCUACACCUCAACAGGGAAAAUUAUUAACCGCAAACGUCACUUUGUAAUGAGGGUAUAUCAUUUUGCGCCGAAACAGGAAACUGUUGAUGAGAAAAUCGACAAAAUAAACUACCUCAUCAUCCAUUUCUUGCAAGCGUUGUUUUUUAUUAUUUAUGAAUAAUUGUUUUUGCUUUCAA
Long non-coding RNA from Prosopis cineraria, 1370 nucleotides. RefSeq lists it as uncharacterized. The record is from RefSeq and is a predicted model, not a curated record. Lineage: Eukaryota; Viridiplantae; Streptophyta; Magnoliopsida; Fabales; Fabaceae. The transcript is spliced from 2 exons.